Molecule: ribosomal RNA, 253 nt
Filed under: uncultured bacterium
Lineage: Bacteria
Description: partial 16S ribosomal RNA
Rfam family: Bacterial small subunit ribosomal RNA
Source: RNAcentral
UACGUAGGGUGCAAGCGUUGUCCGGAAUUAUUGGGCGUAAAGAGCUCGUAGGCGGUUUGUCGCGUCGGCUGUGAAAACCUGGGGCUCAACCCCGGGCCUGCAGCCGAUACGGGCAAACUAGAAUUCGGUAGGGGAGACUGGAAUUCCUGGUGUAGCGGUGAAAUGCGCAGAUAUCAGGAGGAACACCGGUGGCGAAGGCGGGUCUCUGGGCCGAUAUUGACGCUGAGACGCGAAAGCGUGGGGAGCAAACAGG